GACCAGCUAAUAUCUUCUGCCUUGGAAUCAACAUAUGGUAUUUAUUCUAGGAUGGGAAGUAAGAGAAAGAAAGAAAGAAAGAAAGAAAGAAAGAAAGAAAGAAAGAAAGAAAGAAAGAAAGAAAGAAAGAAAGAAAGAAAGAAAGAAAGAAAGAAAGAAAGAAAGAAAGAAAGAAAGAAAGAAAGAAAGAGAGAGAGAGAGAGAGAGAGAGAGGGAGGGAAGGAAGGAGGGGGGAG
Molecule: long non-coding RNA, 236 nt
Filed under: Monodelphis domestica (gray short-tailed opossum)
Lineage: Eukaryota; Metazoa; Chordata; Mammalia; Didelphimorphia; Didelphidae
Description: lncRNA (ENSMODG00000049836.1)
Source: RNAcentral